UUUUUUUUUUUUUUUUUUUUUUAACAUCCUCUUUAUGUCCUGAGAGCCAUGUGCAGAUGAGGAAAAAUGACAUGCAAUGCAUUUUUGCCUGCCACAAUGACUUUGCAAUCAUAACAAGCAAAAUGUUCUAAACAGUAAGUGAAUCGAGGAAGAUAUACUGCCAAGUCAGGAAGAAAAAAUCCACCUGUUCAGUGAUUUCAGGAACUGCUGAAGAAAAUCACCAGAGCUCAGGAAGCAGAAUGCAACCCAUGCAGAUGUAGGGGCUGGAUUCUCUCUAUGACUGAGUGGGAGUCUCAGCCCCAAGAAAUGCCCCGGGUUGGCCCUGAAAUCCACAAUGGCUUGCUGGGCUGGAGGCCACCAGCUGAUGGGACCCAAGAGAGGAAUGAAUUAUUUAUCUGGACUCCUCACAGAGAACAAUGCCCUGCAAAUGUCCCCCGCACCAUGCUGGGUGGAAUUCAUAGUCAACCUAACAACCAGCUUAGCAUCUUCUCUCCCGGACCUUGCCCCUCCAACCGUAUCGAACUUUGAGGAGCAAUUAGGGAAUUGCUUGACAUCUUCCCUGCGAGCUCUUGGGUCACAAAAGCUAAUUAACCUUCCUCUUGCCUUCCAAACUAAGUAACAACCUCCAGAGCCAAGUCUUCUGGAACAAAACAGGAAGGAAGAAAGAAACUAAGAAAGAAGCACUGUCUCUGAUUUUUUUUUUUUAAUGAAGGUUAACAUAUAAUUUUUAAAAUGAACUCCAUGGAAAGGAGGUUGUGGGGUUCACAACCCCUGGGAGCAGUUCCAGCAGUGCCAGGACGGUCUCAGUGGCAGCCCUCUGCUCAUCUUUGAGGUCUACUUUGCCCAGCAGCUAACUCUUGUAGGUGGAAACAUGGUGGCUUCUUGUUCUCUGGGAAGUUCUGGAUGGGAACUUGAUGUGGGAAGUUGUGAGGUGCCCUGAACUUGGAGGUGGGGCUCAUUGGCACCACAGUGAUGGUCCCAUCUGUGCCAUGUAGACUUGACCAAGCAACUCAAGGUGUCCUUAAUGUCCCAGACUGAGAGAGAAUUUGCCGGCCUCCACCUUGGAAUAUUGUUGACUUUCAGUGCACGACGCAAGUCCUCUCCUUCAACACUCCUCUCUAAGAAGAUACACAGUCAAACACUUAAGGACUUGGGCUUGCGGAGGGUGUAGAUCUGGGCUCAGAUUCCCAUUCUGACACUUACUGGCUACGUGACCUACACUGUGAUUCCCAAAUGCCUGCAUAUCCACAUACCACUGUGUCCCACUGCACUAGCUACCCGGAGCUGCCAUAACACAUUGCCACUAACUAGGUGGCUUAAAACCAGAGGAAUUCAUUCUCUUAUAGUUCUGGGGGUCAGAAAACUUUUUUUUAUUUGUUUGAGAUGGAGAUUCGCUCUUGUUGUCCAGGCUGGAGUGCAACGGCAUGAUCUCGGCUCACCGCAACCUCUGCCUCCUGGGUUCAAGCAAUUCUCUUGCCUCAGCCUCCCGAGUAGCUGGGAUUACAGGCAUGUGCCACCACGCCCAGCUAAUUUUGUAUUUUUAGCAGAGACAGGUUUCUCCAUUUUGGUCAGGCUGGUCUCAAACUCCCGACCUCAGGUGAUCUGCCCCCCCUUGGCCUCCCUAAGUGCUGGGAUUACAGGCGUAAGCCACCACACCUGGCCCUGGGGGUCAUAUAUCUUAAAUCAAGGUAUCAACAGGACCAAGCUCCCCAAAAGCUCCAGGAAAGGAUACUUCUUGGCCUCUCUUCUGGCUUCUGGUGGCUGCAGCAAUCCUUGGGGUUCCUUGGCUUAUGGAUGCAUCACUCCGUACUCUGCUUCCGUCCUCACUUGACCUUCUCACCUACCUUCCUUUACGUCAUCUUCCUUCUGAGAUGCUCUGUGUCCAAAUUUUAUUCUUUGUAAAAGGAUGCCAGUCAUUGGAUCAGAGACCACCUUAAUCCAGGAUGACUUCAUCUUAACUAAAUUACAUCUGCAAAGAUUCUAUUUCUAAAUAAACCCACAUUCUGAGGUUCUGGGUGGGCAUGCUAUUUGGCAGGACAAAGUCAACACAGGACACUCAUUUUCAGGAUUGAUCGCAUGGUUUGAGGAAGCUGAUGGUGACAUCUCUUCUUAAAUCUGUUUUCAGGAAAAUCAUACUGGUAGCCUUCAAGUGGCCAUGGUGGGAGCAUUGACCCAGGGAAAUCCACAUUUCCCAACACAUGCUGGAUACCUGAGGACUCCAGAGCUACUAUCUGCUCAUAUCUGCUCAACAUUAAAAAAAAAAAAAAAACCUCACAUUGUUAAGUGAAAAGGUUUAUUGGCAGAUUUGCUUAACUCAAUUUGCAAAGAUACCUUAGACCAGGGGUCGGCAAACUACAUUCCACAGAACGAAGCUGCCCAUUACUUGUCUUUUGUUUGUUUGUUUGUUUUGUUUUGUUUUGUUUUGAGAUGAAGUCUCGCUCUUGUUGCCCGGGCUGGAGUGCAAUGGUGUGAUCUCAGCUCACUGCAACCUCAACCUCCCUGGUUCAAGCAAUUCCCCUGCCUGAGCCUCCCAAGUAGCUGGGAUUACAGGCACAUGCCACCAUGCCCAACUGAUGUUUUUGUAUUUUUAGUAGAGAUGGGGUUUCACCAUGUUGGCCAGACUGGUCUCGAACUCCUGACCUCAGGUGAUCCACUGCCUCAGCCUCCCAAAGUGCUGGGAUUACAGGCGUGAUCCUAAGUACAGUUUUAUAGGACAACCAUGCUCAUUCAUUUCCGUAUCGUCCACGGCUGCUCUACAGCAGCAGAGUUUAGUGGUCAGGACAGAACCGGCACAACCUGCACAACCUGCACAACUUUCAAAGGCUGAAUAUUUACUCUCCGGCUCUUUAGAGAAAGUUUGCAACUCCUACUUUAGACUGAUGCUUCUCCAAUGCUAACGCGCCAGUCACCAAAUCACCGGCAUCUGGUCCCAGCCUCCAACCAUAAACCACAGCUGAAUGGAAACUUGGUAGCGCUUGCCUUCAAUAGCAGAUGCUGUAAGAGGAAAGCAAGGUGACCAAGAAAACAUUGCAAAACUCUGGGCAGAAUCUGGGGCCUGAAGACUCUGAGUCAGAGGCCUCUUUUUUUGCUCUAAACACAUAUUAGCAAGAGUCCAAGAGGCAUCAAAGAUGAGUUAGCAGCAAAAUGAGGCUUUGUCCUUCAUGUAGAAAGGAUUAAAUGAUAGUUGAAAAUGCAAUAACUUUCACCCUGUGGGAUUCAGUGAUGUUCAGUGCUGUGAUUAUGUCCAACUUCAAAUCUUGCUGUCCCAACUGGGACAGCCCAAACAUAGGGAGCCACUGCACUAAGAUGUUAUGAUUUAUUAAGAUAAUAAAGCUAGCGGGAUGACAAAUGUUUCAUUUUUCCCCCAUGUGUUUCCCCCAAAGGACCGUCUGCUUUUGCAUGUGAUUUGACUAUGCGCUGAGGACCUAGCGUGGUAUAUCAGCAAAGUGGAAAAGUGACUGAAGUGACUGUUUAUCAUCUUGUACCAAGUUACACCACUUUAAGCUUUAACUCCACAGCUCUUGCAUUAUUUUAAAACCGUCUGGCAGAUCUCUAAAACUAAUGGUACAAACCACUCUGUGAUACAUUAAAAUACAUCCCACUCUGUCAUACUGC
Homo sapiens (human) is the source of this 3615-nucleotide long non-coding RNA. Ensembl annotates it as MIR646 host gene. Its record names the gene MIR646HG. NCBI's taxonomy places the organism in Eukaryota, Metazoa, Chordata, Mammalia, Primates, Hominidae. The record is from Ensembl.